Molecule: transfer RNA, 86 nt
Filed under: Pseudomonadota bacterium
Lineage: Bacteria; Pseudomonadati; Pseudomonadota
Description: tRNA-Leu
Rfam family: tRNA
About the family: Transfer RNA (tRNA) molecules are approximately 80 nucleotides in length. Their secondary structure includes four short double-helical elements and three loops (D, anti-codon, and T loops). Further hydrogen bonds mediate the characteristic L-shaped molecular structure. tRNAs have two regions of fundamental functional importance: the anti-codon, which is responsible for specific mRNA codon recognition, and the 3' end, to which the tRNAs corresponding amino acid is attached (by aminoacyl-tRNA synthetases). tRNAs cope with the degeneracy of the genetic code in two manners: having more than one tRNA (with a specific anti-codon) for a particular amino acid; and 'wobble' base-pairing, i.e. permitting non-standard base-pairing at the 3rd anti-codon position.
Source: RNAcentral
GCUCUGGUGGCGGAAUUGGUAGACGCGCAUGCUUCAGGUGCAUGUUGGCCCAGCCAGUGGAGGUUCAAGUCCUCUUCAGAGCACCA